CCAAUAGCGUAUAUUAAAGUUGUUGCAGUUAAAAAGCUCGUAGUUGAAUUUCGGGAUCAGAUUGUCGGUCGUGCCUCGGUACGCACUGGCAUUAUUUGGUUCCUACCUUCUGAAGAACCGCGAUGUCAUUAAUUUGGUGUCGUGGGGAAUCAGGACUGUUACUUUGAAAAAAUUAGAGUGUUUAAAGCAGGCGCACGCUUGAAUACAUUAGCAUGGAAUAAUGAAAUAGGACGUUUGAUUCUAUUUUGUUGGUUUCUAGGAUCGACGUAAUGAUUAAUAGGGAUAGUUGGGGGCAUUAGUAUUCAAUUGUCAGAGGUGAAAUUCUUGGAUUUAUUGAAGACUAACUACUGCGAAAGCAUUUGCCAAGGAUGUUUUCAUUAAUCAAGAACGAAAGUUGGGGGAUCGAAGACGAUCAGAUACCGUCGUAGUCUUAACCAUAAACUAUGCCGACUAGGGAUCGGAUGAUGUUAAUUUUUUAAUGACUCAUUCGGCGCCUUACG
RNAcentral lists this ribosomal RNA (500 nucleotides) under uncultured Glomeromycotina. RNAcentral's name for it is "partial small subunit ribosomal RNA". It matches the Rfam family "Eukaryotic small subunit ribosomal RNA", at positions 591 to 1092 of the family's 1831-position model. The record is from RNAcentral. Lineage: Eukaryota; Fungi; Glomeromycota.